Uloborus diversus is the source of this 237-nucleotide long non-coding RNA. RefSeq lists it as uncharacterized. Lineage: Eukaryota; Metazoa; Arthropoda; Arachnida; Araneae; Uloboridae. The transcript is spliced from 3 exons. The record is from RefSeq and is a predicted model, not a curated record.
UUUUUGCAGCUUGAUCUUGACUACCAUGUGUCUGCAAUACAAGCCAGCCUUAAUUGCGUGCGUAUGCAUCCACCUGGCAUGCAAAUGGACCGGUUGGAAAAUCAAUCCCUGUUCCCGAGGCAAAGAGUGGUAUUCCUAUCUUGAUCCGACGGCAACAUUAGACACCAUUGAAACUCUCUCACAGGAUUUUCUUACCAUUUUUGAAACCAGUGACGCCAAGUUCGUUAAAAGGUUCAA